UUUUCAGCAAAAUGUUGUGAGCACCUACCAUAUGCCAGGCACUGUUCAGUGAACUGGUUGUACAGGAGUGAAUGAGAUCAUCUUGAUUUUGAGAAGUUUAUAAUCUACUCAAGGGAAACACGUGUAAUCAACUAUGUUUCAGACAUAACCCCUCAAAACCAAAGCAGAACCUCUUCAAGGAGCUGAGAGAUGCAAGCCUGGAUAUGCUAAGCCUAAUAGUUUCCGUUUUGCCAACGAUCAAGAUGUGAUUUCCCCCCUGAUCUCUGCCCUUGGAAUUUCAUUUUCCUGAGAUGGGGAAAGGAAUGGAGCCUCUCCACCCUCUUUUGGGUGCUCAUCUUCUCUCCAAAAAGGAGAACAUGAAAUCCCCAUGAAGAAAUUCUGGCCCAAUCAGAGAAACUGUAAGAUGUCUCUGGGAUUUUAAAGGAUCCAUCUUUGGAUGGGUCUGAGAAAGCCUGUGAACUUCCGGCAAUAUUAUGCAGACUUGCUAGCUGAGGAACCACUCCUUGCAUCAGCAGGCUGUUGGAAGGAAAAGCACUGGCUCAAGAGAAGGAGAGAAAAGUCUUUGAACUAAGCCUGCCUUUGAGACCAGGGCUGCUUCUGCUGCAGGGCUUACACCCUGUCUCUCAGGAUAUUCAUGAACAGAAUCUCCCUGCUUGUGCUUUGUAAAGGGUGUCUGUGUUUGGAGAAAGAGAGACUUCCUUCCCUUUGUAAACAAAUACAGGUCAGCCAGGGAGAUUUAAGAAUGCGGUAACUGGGUUAGCCUUGCCCAAGCUGGGCUAGGGAGUGUCUUGGCUGUGGAGGAACUGAGGUUUUCUGGGGUGAAUCUGAGUUGGAUCCAACAAGGUUGAGAUGAAGACUCAAGUGGGGUAUCAGAACCCUGGAGCAUUACAAUCAUAGCAGGGAAGACAGAUGUGUGCAGAAAACCCAACGAUCAAGGCAAGGAGAGAAGUUGGAAGCCAGAAGUAAAGUUGGUAAUAAAAGAGUCAGAAGCAAAAUGAGGCAAGUUGAAAGGAAGGAACGGCCCUGAAUGACUCUGACUUGGCUUUGCUAACAGAAAGUAUGUGCAUUACAUACUGGGCGGGCUAAGCAUAGCCAUGGUGGCCUAAUAGUGCUACACCAGAUUGAGCAAGUCAUUCUCCCAAUACCGUGGCUGUGCAAACUCUGCCUAAAGUAUUUUUUUUUUUUAGGAACCCUCCCUCUAUCCGCCAGGCUGGAGUGCAGUGGCACAAUCUCGGCUCACUGCAAACUCUGCUUCCUGGGUUCAAACAAUUAUCAUGCCUCAGCCUCCCAAGUAGCUGGGAUUACAGGCGAGUGCCAUCAUGCCCAGCUAAUUUUUGUAUUUUUAGUAGAGACUAGGUUUUACCAUGUUGGCCAGGCUGGUCUCGAACUCCUGACCUCAGGUGAUCCACCUGCCUCAGCCUCCCAAAGUGCUGGGAUUACAGGUGUGAGCCACUGAGCCAGACCUAAAAUCUUAUAUUAUGGGCUAAAAGGUAUCUAUGAAAUCUUCUAUUCCAACUCCCUCAUUUCACACACAGAGAGAGUGAAGCCCAAGUAUUAAUUCAAGAUUUAAUAAAUAAUAAGGGACAGAGCCGACCACACUCUGUCUCUUUCUCCCUAUCCAUUAAAUAGUCAGCUUUGUCAUCAGUAUUCACCUUGAAACCUUUAUGCCCAACCUCACUGGAUCUUUCAUCCUUAUUUGUGUCUGUCAUCAUGGGAAGCCCCAGACCCCUGGGUCACCAGUUAUCUCCUGUAACUGCUCACCAUAUAGUUUUGCACAUCUCUCUCUCCCCUCAUCUUUCAUUCUCCCAAACUCCUAAAAUCCUUCUACUAUGUGCCCCUGGAACUCACAAUUCAUCAUCAGCUGACUUCUCCAUAUGCUCACAGUGUUCUUCUGAAUGCUCCUUUCACUGCUUAACUGAAAUCUGCAUCUCCUUCGAGGGCUCUGCUUCUCCUGCACCUCUCUCACUUUGUGGGUGGGGAAGGUGUCCUCUGUUGCCCUCAUUACUUGUUGCACACUUUCUCUUUUACCCUAAGAUCUCCCACUUUUGAAGUCCAUGCCGUCAUACUGCUUUGAAUCCCAUACCAUCAGACUAUGUCACCCACUACCUCUCGUUGCUGAAGUCAUCAACCUGGGUCAAGUAUAUUGUAAGGUAAAAUUUCAAGUGCUACCUUGACGUCUCUGAAUCUCACAGGGCCCCAAAGGCCUGACCAUGAAUGACCCUGCUUUCACCAGAUAUACCCCUCCCACAGUGGGAAAGCUUCCCCAUCUCUCUAGUUCCCUUACCAGCCAAACAGCUCCACUCCACCUGUUCAACCUCACAAGUUUCAUUUUCCUGAUAGCCUGUGAGUGAUUCAAAUAAGCCAGUUACGUCCUCCCAUGAGAACAAAGGGGCACCUCAUCCUUCUGUUACUACAAAGCCUGCCUCCCACAGUCUCUACUGGUUCACUCAAUUCCUGAGUUGGACCCCUGUGUGGCCCUGUUCUGGAAGGCAUGCAGUGUCCAGGGCUGUGAGUAUACGUGACUAAUAAAGUGCUGCCAAUCCCAUCUGUCCAAUGCUAGGUAUCUGGUGUUCAGGUACCUCAUACUAUUUAAGGCAGGAGAGCCCUCUUUCAUCAGUGGAGUGAAUGGGAGCUUAUCAGAACAGUCAAGCUCCCCAGUUUUUGGAUCACUUUUAGCUCCUGAAUCACUAUCACUCUUUUCAGCACUUUCCCCACAUUACUUCUUUUUGAUGUCAAUAUAUGCAUAUGUGAUUCUUGCAAUAUCCUGGUUUGUCAGUACCUUUAGUUACUGAUCUUGUCCUCAGCCCUAUCUCAGCUGUUCACUUCCAUAUUGUUACCAACAAAUCCAGACCUCCGUGCAUCUCACACAUCCCAUUCUCCAACCUCUACCUCCUAUGUUUCCAGUUCAGUCCGUCUAGCACCUUCAUUCCAAAAUGAAGACCCCCCAGUGAGACCUCCAUUCCAUUGAUUUUAUCACCUGUUCUUUUCUUUAUUCAUUCCCAUCUAGUCGUUCCCCCCAUUUACCCAAUUAAAAUUCUAUGGCUAGUUGUUACAAUCACUCCUUUGCAUAAAGCCUCCUCCUCACUUGCAUAUUCUUCUCUUUAUUCGCCUUAUUUGUGAAAAUCAUAAGUCUGGCUGAACACUCGCAUUGCUCUGCUCUGCUCCUGCAUCUGUGCCGCUGAGCCUGACUCACACAUACUCAUACUACAUGGUCUCACUUUAAAUUCAUGACCACAAUCCUCAAGCAGGCCUUUAAUACUGCCGGUCAUUAUACUAUAUUUCCCUACUUCACAUAUUCUCCUACUCUCCUAGGGAACUAUUUUGCGCCUUUGCUUCUCUCUUAAAACCUACAUUUUUUCCCCUAAGCUGUCUCUCAGUUGAUGGCUUUGUUUUCUAUCUUACUGGAAAACUGAGGCCAUUAGCAGAGACCUUCUGAAAUCCUUCUACUCAUCUAACCAGUAAGAUGUGAACCCACACUCCUUGCUCCAGGAGGUCCCCGUGCUUCUAUCUAAGCCUAACACCUGUGCACGUGAAGUAGAUCCCAUCACCUAUCACCACUUAAAGAUAUUUCCCCAGAAAUUAUCCUCCUCCUCUCCAAUUUCACCACUAUUACACUUCUUUACUGAAUCCUUCCCAAGAGGAAACAGGCUUUAUUUCUCUUGUUUUAAAAAGACAACUCUGAAUUGACCUCAUUUUUUCCUCACCAGUUCUCUGAUUUUCUUUACAAAUUUCUCAAAAGAAUGAUCUUCUCCAAUCCUCAUCCUAUCUCUUCUUGAAGUCUACUGCAAUCAGACUUUUAUUCAUACCACUUCAGCAAACCGCUCUUGAAAAUAUCAAUAAUAACCUUGGUAUUACUAAACGUAAUGAUCAGUUCUCAGUCUUACUCAACAAUUGGCAGCAUUUGGCCCAAGUGAUCACUGCAUCCUCCUUGAUACACUUUCUUCCCUUUACAUUUUCUGUACUCUUCUGUUUUCCUUCUACCUCAUUGGCUGUUCUUUCUCAGUCUCUUUAGCUGUUUCUUCCCUGACUUCUUUACUACAGGUGCUCCAGGGCGUGGUUCUUAUACCUCUUCUUCCUUCCACUUAUAUUGCUCUCUCUUUGGGUGACACAAUCCAGCCUCAUAUCCUUAAAUACCAGUUAUAUGUUGAUAACUCUCAAUUUUAUACAUCCAGCUGGAAACUUUCCCUUGAACUUGAGACUCUUAUAUCUAGCUACCUACCUGACAUCUCACUUGGAUGUAGUAUUGCUUAGGGUUCAAUCAGAAGAUCAGAACCACUAUGAGUGGUAGGAAAUGAGGGAACUAUUGCAAGGAUUAGAACCUAUCUAGGUGUCGGGGGUGCUGGAGAAGUUUAUGAAAAGCUAUUGGCUUGGCAUCUGGUGGUGGACCUGAAGUUGUUGUAGGUCACCUGGACAGGUAGUUGAGAAGGACUGGACCUGAAGUGGAAGAAAGCAGGAUAAACUGGAACCCACAACGAUAAAUGAUAAAUUGGAACAACAUCUGUCUCCCUCUGCAUCAAUCUUCAACAACAUGGAUGACCUGUCAAACUCACUGGGGACAUUCUAACCUCAGAGCUUUCAUAAGGCUGUUCUAUCUGCCUGGAUCUCAUUGCCUCAGCUGCUAACAAAACUUUGUCCUUCACCUAAUUCAGGUCUUUGCUUAAAUAGCACCUCAGUAAAACCUACUCUGACUACUCCAUUUAAAAUUAAAAUUUCCCUAUUCCCCCUGCCCCAGCUAGCCCUAUUUCCAUUCUUUCUGUAGCGAUUACUACAUUUUAAGAUAGCUUUACCUAUUAUUAAGUUUAUGUCUGCUUCCUCCAACUAGAAAUGUAAGCCCAACAAGGGCAGGGGUUUUGAAGAUUUUGUUUCACUGAUGUGUUUCAGGUGCCAGACCCUGGCAGAGUAGAUGCUCAAUAAAUACUUGUAUGAACUGAGCGUUAUCGGUCUAUGCCUCCCCAUUAAGUUGGAGAAGGGAGAUAUUGAAAAAGUUAAGUUGUACAUUUCUUUAUUUAUUGGAAGCAACUCUUACUUCAUCAUUCCAGGGAAUUUCUGUAAGGAAGAUAACCCUCUCCAUUGUUUAAAGCCUUUGGUCAUAGCAUGUCUUCUUUUUACCUAACUAAAUUUUAGCUGCAAAUUUUUCAUUCUUUUUAGUCAACCUGGGGGCAGAUAUGUAUUGUAAAUCUGAAGAGAUUUGUUGGACCACUUUCUCAGCCCUUGAAGUGCUGUGUUCUGGAUUUGUUUAACCUAAUUUACGGUUUCUAGAGUUUCUAGCCCUUGAGAAAGGUUGUAAAGAAGGGAAAGGAAGUCACUUGCAGGAGAAAUAUGACACUGUUUUCUGUGUCUGUAACAGAGAGGUUGGAGGGAAGAGAACAACUGCAAUUUAUUGGAACAAGAGCUUCCUAGAAAAUGAGACCAGCAAGUGCUAAUGAUCCCUAGCAAUAGUUGCAAAUCUCAGAGACAGUAUCUGAUAUGGUUCGGCUCUGUGUCCCCACCCAUAUCUCCUCUCAAAUUGUAAUCCCCAUAAUCUCCAUGUGUCAACCUGGUGGGAGGUGAUUGGAUCAUGGGGGUGGUUUCCUCCAUACUGUUCUUGUGAUAGUGAGUUCUCAUGAGAUCUGAUGAUUUUAUAAGUGUUUAACAGUUCCUCCUUCACAUGCUGUCUUGCCUGCCACCAUGUAAGUUGUGCCUGCUUCCCUUCCACUAUGAUUGUAAGUUUCCUGAGGUCUCCUCAGUUAUGCGGAACUGUGAGUCACUUAAACCUCUUUUCUUUAUAAAUUACCCAGUCUCUAGUAGUAUCUUUAUAGCAAUUUGAAAACGGAGUAAUAUAGUAUCCUUUGUCAGUGGAAGGCAGAAAGAGGUCAGGCUUAUUCAGGAGAGUUUGUAGCUGAAAUCAAAUGUUAUUAAAGCCACUUAAAUAUAUCAUAUGACUAUCACAUGGCAUGUUGCAUCACAUUAUACUCUAGUGACUUAUGUUACUGUUCCUUUCACUAGACCAAACACUGCUCCAAAGCUGGAUGAGAUGUUUUUCCUCUUACCGUCCCCAAGCCUGGCCAAGUACAGGCACCUGGAGGCAACUCAGCAAGGACCUAUUGGGUGAACAGCAAAUAAAUAAAGUAUCUCCUUGAUUAGCAUUAGGCAAGAAUUAUUCAUUAUCAUGCAAUAUGAGUCAUUCAACUGGGGCAAGGAAAGAUGCUGGAAAGGGAAAGUAGUAUUUUUUUAGGGUCUAUUGUGUUAUUCAUGUAAAAUAGCUUGCAUGGUACCUUUUGCAUGCCUGGAACUCUUUACAUGGUGGCUGUUUUUAUGUUCUUAUUAAUUUUUGCUAACUUCAGGAGGUGGAUAUCAUAUCACCUUUUUGACAAGUAAGGAAACUAGGGCUCAGAGAAAGGAUGUAUCCUUUAGGGCCACUUAACCAGGGAGCAUCAGAGACAGAAUUCAACCCCAAGGUCACAUAAUUUCCCCAAUCCUAUUGUUCAUCUGUGGUCUCCUGGAGGGACCAUGCAGAGCACAUGGCAGAUGUGUAUGUGGAUACGUGA
Molecule: long non-coding RNA, 6527 nt
Filed under: Homo sapiens (human)
Lineage: Eukaryota; Metazoa; Chordata; Mammalia; Primates; Hominidae
Description: HSALNT0345497
Source: RNAcentral